RNAcentral lists this ribosomal RNA (468 nucleotides) under uncultured bacterium. RNAcentral describes it as "partial 16S ribosomal RNA". It matches the Rfam family "Bacterial small subunit ribosomal RNA", at positions 28 to 507 of the family's 1533-position model. The record is from RNAcentral.
GAUGAACGCUGGCGGCGUGCUUAACACAUGCAAGUCGAACGGAAAGGCCCAAGCUUGCUUGGGUACUCGAGUGGCGAACGGGUGAGUAACACGUGGGUGAUCUGCCCUGCACUUCGGGAUAAGCCUUGGAAACUGGGUCUAAUACCGGAUAGGACGAUGGUUUGGAUGCCAUUGUGGAAAGUUUUUUCGGUGUGGGAUGAGCUCGCGGCCUAUCAGCUUGUUGGUGGGGUAAUGGCCUACCAAGGCGUCGACGGGUAGCCGGCCUGCGAGGGUGUACGGCCACAUUGGGACUGAGAUACGGCCCAGACUCCUACGGGAGGCAGCAGUGGGGAAUAUUGCACAAUGGGCGCAAGCCUGAUGCAGCGACGCCGCGUGGGGGAUGACGGCCUUCGGGUUGUAAACUCCUUUCGCUAGGGACGAAGCGUUUUUGUGACGGUACCUGGAGAAGAAGCACCGGCUAACUACGUG